GAUGUUGUUUUGGUUUCAGGUAC
RNAcentral lists this non-coding RNA (23 nucleotides) under Arabidopsis thaliana (thale cress). Lineage: Eukaryota; Viridiplantae; Streptophyta; Magnoliopsida; Brassicales; Brassicaceae. The record is from RNAcentral.